Molecule: long non-coding RNA, 802 nt
Organism: Macrobrachium nipponense
Lineage: Eukaryota; Metazoa; Arthropoda; Malacostraca; Decapoda; Palaemonidae
Exons: 3
Source: RefSeq, a predicted model, not a curated record
CUCCCUCUUCUCACUGUCUCAAGUGAUAAAAGGCUGAAAGUGCCCCAGUGCUUGUCUCUAUAUCCAUUUUUCUUAAAUCAAAUAAAAUCUUCCCACCUGACUUCAAAUUUGGCCUCUCCCCAAUUAUUCAUUUAACUGUAGAAAUUUGAAGAAAUGUCACUGUAGCUGAUUUUUCAUCUCUGAUUUAAACUUAAGGCUACAUUUUCAUGUUCUAUCAUCCAACAGGUUUGCUACCAGCACAAGAGACUUCCUUCUUGAGCACUCAUUUGAUGGAUUGGAUCUGGACUGGGAGUUUCCGUCGUGGCCAGCAGUAAAGAGAGAGAAAUGUGAAAAACAUCUUUUUAGCGAACUUGUUCGUCAUCUCCAUGACAGUCUGAAGGUUUUAUGUAUUCACAGAUGUGCUUCUUAUUAGUGUAUGUUGACUUUGUUUCUCUCAUGGGAUAUGACUAUCACAUAUUUUGGCCGUACCUUCCCUUCACAGGGCACAAUGCCCCUUUGAUGAAACGAAGUGGAGAAAAGUUAUAUUUUGCUACUAUGAACAUACAAUGGUCGUCUUUAUAUUGGUUGGAGAAGGGCAUGACUAAAGAAAAAUUAGUCAUUGGGAUUCCAACUUUCGGGAGAUCUUGGAGAUUGAUGAACUCUUCUUGGAGCAAUGUUUGGUCACCAGCCAUUGGUGAAGGCAUGUGUAAUGGAAUAUUAUCAUACCCUGAAGCAGUAUCAUUUUUGAAAGAAGGAGGAGAGCAGUAUUUUGAUGAAGAAAGUAGAGUUCCAUAUGCCAGUAGAAAUAAAGAUUGGAUUUCAU